This 249-nucleotide ribosomal RNA is filed under the name uncultured prokaryote. RNAcentral's name for it is "partial 16S ribosomal RNA". It matches the Rfam family "Bacterial small subunit ribosomal RNA", at positions 524 to 772 of the family's 1533-position model. The record is from RNAcentral.
UACGGAGGAUGCGAGCGUUAUCCGGAUUUAUUGGGUUUAAAGGGUGCGUAGGCGGCCGAGUAAGUCAGCCGUGAAAUUUUGCAGCUUAACUGUAACAGUGCCGUUGAUACUGCAUGGCUAGGAUUUGGUUGCUGUGGGUGGAAUGUGUGGUGUAGCGGUGAAAUGCUUAGAUAUCACACAGAAUAUCAAUUGCGAAGGCAGCUCACAAAGCCAAGAUUGACGCUGAGGCACGAAAGUGUGGGGAUCAAA